Molecule: ribosomal RNA, 492 nt
Filed under: uncultured bacterium
Lineage: Bacteria
Description: partial 16S ribosomal RNA
Rfam family: Bacterial small subunit ribosomal RNA
Source: RNAcentral
AGUGAACGCUGGCGGCAGGCCUAACACAUGCAAGUCGAACGGCCGCACAGUAAGCGCUUGCCCUUACGGGUGGCGAGUGGCGGACGGGUGAGGAAUACAUCGGAAUCUACUUUUUCUUGGGGGACAACGGAGGGAAACAUACGCUAAUACCGCAUAUGUUCUACGGCUGAAAUCAGGGGAUCAUCGCACCUUUCGCGAUUCAAAUAGCCGAUGUCGGAUUAGCUAGUUGGCGUGGUAAAGGCCCACCAAGGCGACGAUCCGUAGCUGGUCUGAGAGGAUGAUCAGCCACACUGGAACUGAGACACGGUCCAGACUCCUACGGGAGGCAGCAGUGGGGAAUAUUGGACAAUGGGCGAAAGCCUGAUCCAGCCAUACCGCGUGAGUGAAGAAGGCCUUCGGGUUGUAAAGCCCUUUUGUUGGGAAAGAAAAGCUGCAGGUUUAUACCCCGCUGUUCUGACGGUACCCAAAGAAUAAGCACCGGCUAACUUCGUG